AGCGAAUGCUCCUGCUGGAGAGGUCACUGUCAGCAGGCUCUGUGCAAAAUUAAUAAUGCAGCAUGGUUGGUACAGGGUUUCAUUGUUCCUGCAGAAGGGAACGGCUGUAUUACGAAUAAAGGAAAAGUAUGAGAAUAAGAAAGAUGAAGUAUGAAAUAUUUCUCAAUAACAGACCAUAGCUGAGCACACAGAAACUACAAUAUGCCACCUAAGUUCUUCCUGCGGUGCUGCAAAGGACACCAUAUUUCUUAGGCAUUUGGUAUGUUCCAGACACUGUUAUUAAAGUAAUUUUCUAUACUACAGAAGUAAUGAAUGACUGUCCUUUUAUAGUUGAGAAAGCAGAGAUUCAAAGAACUCAAAUAACAUGCCUAUUGUUACACAACCAGCAGUGCAAAAGCUGGGACCAAUAUCUGUUUGAAUCCAAUAUUCAUUCUCUAACGUAUCAGCUGCCACCACAAAGGAAAUAAGUGUCUUUGACAUCAGAUCGCUAAUGUCUAAUGUCGCUAAUCCUUGUACAUUAAUUCUACUCUCCUAUCAAAAUUAAAUAAUAGUGUAAACCAAGAUCACAUUAGAUUAUAACUAAAGCACCAAGAUCCUGCCAAGUCCAUGUUUGUUAAAUAAUACAACAUAUAAAUGUGCAAAACUUGAACUUAUAUAAGUGCACAGACAGAAUUCCAUUUGUCCUCCUAUGUUAUCCAAUCAGCUCUAAGAAAAUUUAUUCUAUUAGAUUACCUUUCAGUGCAAGAACUACAAGUACACUCAGAGCCUCAGCACAUUUAUUAACUGAGAGGCUUGAUGAAAAAAAUGAAAAAUUUUCUAGAACAAAUCAGGAUUUGAGAACAACAGAAAAUUAUCCCACCCAUGGAGAUUACAAUGUUUUAUGAAGCCCUUUGCUACUGAUGUGACUAUUGUUUCAUCUUUUAAUAAGCUCUACCAAAAAUAUCCCAGCCCAUUGGAGCUGCAGGCUCAGUGUUCUGCCUUCAUUUCCAAGUGGUGGUUUUGGCAUGUCCCCAGGGAUAGUGUCUGCCCUGAGUAUGAAUUAGAAGGUUUUAGCACGUGCACGAACAUGCAGAUUUUUAGACCUCCUCUCAUAGAACUUUGGCUCCAGUAAGCCUGAGGUGGGGACCAGGAAUCUGAAUUUUAACAUAUACCAAUUUUCAACACGGGGUCUAAUGUCUACUGAAUAAGAAUUGCUGCACUAGACAGUCUUCCAAGGCAAUAUAAAUGAAAGCAAAAAUAAAUAAAUGGGACCUAAUCAAACUUACAAGCUUUUGUACAGCAAAGGAAAACACAAACAAAACGAAAAGACAAUAUACAGACUGAAAGAAAUUAUUUGCAAAUGAUGCGACCAACAAGGAAUUAAUCUCCAAAAUACACAAACAGCUCAUACAACUAAACAACAAAAAAACCACAACCCAAUUGAAAAAUGAGCAAAAGACCUAAACAGACAUUUCCUCAAAGAAGUCAUACAGAUGGCCAACGGGCACAUGAAAAGAUGCUCAACAUUGCUAAUUAUUAGAGAAAUGCUAAUCAAAGCUACAAUGAGGUAUCAUCUCCCACUGCUCAUAAUAGCCAUCAUUAAUAAGUCUACAAAUAACAAAUGCUGGAGAGGGUGUGGAGAAAAGGGAACCCUCCUUCACUGUUGGUGGGAAUGUAAAUUGGUGAAGCCACUAUGGAAAACAGCAUAGAAGUUCCUCAGUGGAGUUCCCAUCGUGGCUCAGAGGUUAACGAAUCCAACUAGGAACCAUGAGGUUGCAGGUUCGAUCCCUGGCCUUGCUCUGUAGGUUAGGGAUCCGGCGUUGCCGUGAGCUGUGGUGUAGGUUGCAGACGUGGCUCAGAUCCCACACUGCUGUGGCUCUGGCGUAGGCCAGUGGCUACAGCUCUGAUUGGACCCCCUAGCCUGGGAACCUCCACAUGCUGCAGGAGCGGCCCAAGAAAUGGCAAAACAACAACAACAAAAAAAAGAAGUUCCUCAGAAAACUAGAUAAAGAACUACCAUAUGAUCCAAAAAUCUCACUCCCAGGCAUAUAUACAGAGAAAACUAUAACUCAGAAACAUAACAUGCACCCCUAUGAUCAUAGCAGCACUCUUCACGAUAGUUAAGAUAUGGAAAUAACCUAGAUGUUCAUUGGCAGAUGAACAGAUUAGGAAGAUGUGGUACAUAUACUCAAGGGAAUACUAUUCAGCCAUAAAAAAGAAUGAAAUAAUCUCAUUCACAGCAACAUGGAUGCAACCAAAAAGUAUUAUAUUAAGUGAAGUAAGUCAGAAAGAGAAAGACAAAUACCAUAUGAUAUCAUUUAUAUGUGCAAUCUCAAAUAUGGCACAGAUGAAUCUAUCUACAAAACUGAUGAACCUAUCUACAGAACUGAAACAGACUCAAAGACACAGAGAACAGACUUGUGGUUACCAAGGGUGGAGGUGGGGGAGGGAUGGAUUGGAAGUUAGGGAUUAGCAGAUGCAAACUAUUAAAUGUAGAAUAGAUACUGCAUAGCACAGGGAACUGUAUUCGAUAUCCUGUGAUAAACCGUAAUGGAAAAGAAUAUUAAAAAGAAUGUGUAUCUGUAAAACUGAAUCACUUUGCUGUAUAGAAGAAAUUAACACAACAUUGUAUGUAAAUUAACUACGCUUCAAUUUUUAAGAAAAGAAAAGAAUCACUGGACUAGAGGAUCCUCCAUUCCAGUUUGUAAUGAGUCCCUCAGGUUCACACUCAGAGUAUGGCUGUCACAGGCUUUCCAUUGGGUCUAAGAUGUCUGAGGUUCUCCUGAGUUCUCCAAUUGUUGGAACAUUGCUUAAGUGAAACCAAGUCUACACAUGAUAAAUCCCAAGGACACACCUGCUCAAGAUUGGGAUUUACAAUAGAAGUACUGAAGUUCUGCUCUGGUAAGAAUUUGCUUCCUUUUAUUUGCUCUGGGCUGUUUUCAAAAUGAAGCUGUGAACUGGAAGAAUUUGGUCUUUGUAUCCUACCUCCUGUGCCUUUAUCACGUGUAGCUUCGAUAUCCAAACCACAUGCAGGAAACUAAAGCUUCUUGCCUUCUGAAUAUCACCAACUGACGUACCCAAGCAAAGCAGCCUAACCCUCCUUCCCCUGCUCUGGAUUUCUCUCUGUUUCUUCCAUCAAAGUUUACUUCACCCAUUUCUGACCUGGUCAGGAUCCUUUAUAGCAUCAGCACAGUGACAAGACUUUGGUGUGAUACAGUAAAAUGAACUAACAGAUUAACAUUUUAGUUGGAAGCCAAAUUAGAGCUAAGAGAAGCAGAUUUUUUGCAAAAUAAUGUUAAUGAAUACAGUUAGAAUGAUGGUGCCAGGUGAUGUGGACAAGCAAAAUGUUUCCUCCUCCACUUUUCUGUUAGAGAGAAUAAAAAUUAUACUUAAUUUAUCAGUAAUCCAUUACCUCUGUUGAUAAUUCAACAAGAUCAUAGGAAGUCUUAGGCAACUAACAGGAUUUGGAAUUCAACAUGGCACAACUCAGACCCUAAAUAUGUUUUCAUUUUUGAAGGAAAAUUCAGGAUAAUUUAUUAGAACACAAAAUAUAAUCAUGAUCAAAGGUAAAGAUCAUAUAGCAAAAACAUUACUUGGUUAAAAUGAGGUUCUAUGGCACUGUCUCAACUUCAGAUCAACUAUGGUAGCAUUAGAACAGACAUGACAGUGAGGCAAAAUUCUCAGAGGAAAGCAGAGAAAACUAGUUCUCCCAUAAAACCUCUAAAAAAGGCAGCAGAGAUUUACUAUAUUGUAUUUUAGUCAUCUUUGAUGACUUCAUAGUAUCUGACAUGAGUAACACUUAAAUAUAUAAUGAAGUAGUAGUAGUUCAUGAUAAGACAGAGGAGGAGGAGAAGAUUUCAUAACUUAUUGAUUUUUUUGCAUCAUUAGAAUCAUUCAAACAUUGUCUCUGUUCUUGGAUUCAGACAUAUCUAGAAGCCUUUGCCUUCUCAGUAAAAAAUCAUUUAGCCAUAGCCUUCCAACUUCAUGGCUAUAAUUAACAUUUAAGCCUUAAAGGAUGCUAAUGGGUUAACAUUUUUAAGGUAGCAUGUUAUUUUAGGGGCUUUUUAUACACAACACCUUACAGAUUCCAAAGAAGGACCCUUCGAGUUAGAAACUGCAUGCACUAUAAUAAGAUAGGAAGAAAGGUAUCAGAAAAGAAGGAAGUAGCCUUGUAACUUCUAAAGUAAACAAUCUCACAUUGUCACCUACAGUCCCCAACACAUAGGGAAAAACUUUAUUACAGAGCUUCCCACAUGGUCCAAUUUCAGCAGCAGUCUCUUAAAGGGGAGAGUAGAAAUAUGAUUCAUAUUGAAAAAGAUCCAUCAGGUGACAAAGCAAAAUUCCAGCUCAAAUGGGCAGAAUUCUUAUCAUCAUCAAUACCUUUGGGGCAAUUCAUUUGGCUUUGCCUUGGCGGUCUCUCCUUAGGGCUGAGCUGCAGAUUUCUGUGGCGAUCUUGUUAGCUUUGAGGAGGAGGAGAAGAAACACAGGGAGUCCUCUAUAGAAACUCACUUUUAGGAUAAAGAAAGGUCCUAGGAAGUAUAUCUUCUCCGAGGAGCAUAUAUCUGGAGCUCAAAACUGACACAAUACUUUGAGGAUAAGCAAUGAGGUCCUCCUGUACGGUACAGGGAACUACAUCCAGUCUCUUGGGAUAGAACAUGAUGGAAGCUACUGUGAGAAAAGAAUGUAUAUAUAGGUACGACCGGGUCCUAUCCUAUACAGCGGAAAUUGACACAACACUGUAAGUCAACUCGAGUCUAAUAAAAAUAAAAUGAAAUGAAAAAUAAAAAAAUAAAAUUGUGUUGGCCAUUCAAACAAAACAAAACAAAACAAAAAAAAACCUGACACAAUGGUAGUAAUGAAUGGUCCUAGCUGCCACUAACUUGCUCAGUUCUUCACUGCGUGACUGCAGUGCUGCUCAGCAUCUCUCUCAGCCUUCCUAUCCACAUCGAUACAAGGGGCACCCUCAUAAUCUAUAUUAGAUGGAUUUGUGCCAUGUUUGAGAUUCCACAUAUAAGCAAUAAUCCACAUCCGAUGAAAUGAGACCACGAGUAAGAACACUCAGCAACUGCUCAAGUGCUACAACAAUUCUCAAGUAGCUGUGAUACAAAACCAGAUGCUUUUCUCUUCUUUUUUCUUUUUUUUAAAGGGCUGCAUCCAUGGCAUACGGAGUUUUCCAGGGUAGGGGUUGAAUCAGAGCUGCGUCUGUGACCUAUGCCACGGCUCACAGCAACACCGGAUCCUUAACCCACUGAGCAAGGCCAGAGAUCAAACCCCCAGCCACAUGGAUCCUAGUUGGGUUCGUUAACCCCUGAGCCACGAAGGGAGCUUCCCGAUGCUUCCCUCUUCUAAGCCUAUCUUUCAGGAAAUGAAUAAUCGGUCCCACCCAAAUAGAGAAGCCUUAAGAACCACAAACAACUAAAAUUCUAACACCCUUUAGGAGAGGUCUAUUAACAACCUAAGUGUCUGAGUGUCUCAUAAAUGUACUUGGCAGAAUCACUAAACAUAUUUUAGUGACUUGUGAGAAAUUUUAGGGCAUAGGAGUAGGAGGAUGGCUGGAGAGCCAGAGCUCCUGGCUGUUUGUUGGCAGAAGAACAGGUACUGAGUGGUUAAUUCCCCAACCUCACCGCCUCUCCUGCUGUUCUAAACCAUAUUGACCUUGCGUGCCCCGUGGCAGACAUCCUGCCCUCACUUCACGGAUAAACAUCUCAGCUGAAGACCCUUUUCUUGGGGAAAAGUGAACCACUGACCCCAUUCAGACUAAGUCAGAUCCUUCUGUUACAUUCUCAUAACAUUUCAUAUUUUCUUUCUGGCACCUAGCAUAGUUGAUGAAUAACAGAGAUAAAUAGGAUUCUUCGAUUCUGCCUCUUCUUCAAUAGAAGCUCAUUAGGAUACAAAGUAUGACUGGUGACUUUCCCACCACUGACACCCAGAACCUAGCUCAGGGCCUGGCACACCCUGGGAGCUAAAGAAAUAGUUGGUGCUUUAAUGAAGAGCGAGGACUUGCAGGCAAAUCCUCUGUGGCCAAGGCAGGGUUCGUUCUUCUACAGAAGAAAUGGCUCUAUCUAAGUAUUACCUGGAGGGAGCCCAGUAAAAUACAAAUUUUUCAAGUAUUGAUCCAAUGCCAUAAAAUCAGAAACUCUCAGGGAUGAAGAAAUCUGAAUUUUCAGGUGGUGGCCAGUCCCAGUCCAGUUGUAGAAACCACUGCACUACACUCAAAGGUGCAUCUGCUACAACCCCAAACAAUCGUGCUGGCAGAGGACCCAGAGCCCCAAUAUUUUCACUUCCUACCCUCUGCUCAACGCUGGAAGGGCACACUCUCCAAUCUGCCUCAUAUUAUGUCAAGUAAGGGAUUUUUAGGUGGAGAAAUUGUUCCAUUGGACACUGUCAUGGUGGAUACACACCAUCACACAUCUGUCAAAACCCAGAGAACCAUACAACACAAAGAGGGAGCCCUAAUGGAAACUACAGACUUUGGUUAAUAAUAACGUAUCAGUAUUGGCUCAUUGAUUGCAACAAAGGAGCAACGUGAAGGCAAGAUACUAAUAUCUGGGGAAAUCAUGUGGAAAGUGGCAAGGUGAGUGGGUAUAUGGAACUCUAAGUACUACCUGCUCAAUUACUCUGUCAAUCUAAAACUGCAUUUUUCAAAAGCAUAAGAAAAUAAAACAUACUGCAACAAUGACCUUGGGAGUGAAGCACCACAGCCAUGACCACACUCACAUUUACUCAGUGCUCACUGCGCAGGGAGCACCACACUAGGAAUUAUCAAGCAUCACCUCAUUUAACCCCAACAAUACCACUCUCUAGCAACUAGUCAAUAUCCUCAUAUCCCCUUGAGGGUUAGAGAACCGAGAGGAAGUGCAGUUAAGUCCUUGCCCCAAAGAACUCAGCCAGCUAGUAUCAUCUGUUUUCAAACUCGGGUCCAGGCUGCCCCCAAUCCCACACAUUUACCCACUGCUGGAACCAGUUUCAAUUUAGUUACUUGUAGUUACUUCGGCCUAUGCACAAACAAGGGGGUUACUAGGAAGUUUAAUCACUAACUGUAACCCCAAAUGACAACAUAAUGUAACACAGGGUCUGAUGAAAAGAUUCUUAUGGUGAAGCAAUGCCUACUGGCAAGCCCAGAACAUACACAGAGUAAAACAAAUACUGCCCUCCAGGAGCAUGGGAUAGUGGAGAAGCAGGGCUGGUGAUCAACAGCAAGAUGGCUUCAGCUCAACAUCGGGUUUCAAACGCUGGAAUCAUUCUUCUAGGCCCAAGAUGGAGCCACUCCUGGCCGGGUCACCAUAGCAGCAAAUUGAAACUUAGGUGACUUUUGUGUCCCAGGAAGUGUUCCUCCCGACCAGAAACACAGUCUACCCAGCCAGUCAAUCUUCAAAUACCAAGCCAGCUCUGGGCCUUCUCACCCCAAACUGGGUGGACUGUGUGGGGCCAGCCAAUCAGAGGUUUUCUAUUGAUCUUUUCCUUGAACGUUAUUCUGUAUCCUAUAAAAAGCUUCCUGUUUUCUGACCCACUUUGCAGUUCUACAAAAGGAGAGUGUCUACUUCACGAAGUGCUAAAUAAAGUUUGUUUCUGUCACCUAAACUGUCCUCUUUAAUCAUUUUUUAACACAAAGAAACCAAUGAUGGUGACAUGGAUGUACAAACUUAAAUGACAAUGUUUUGCUUUAAAACCAAACUAUUUUUAAACAACAACAACACCAUAAAGGCCAGAAAAAAGACAGAAAGAGAGACUGGGAACCAUCACAUUUUUUUAAGAGACUUAAGGGCCAUGCAGCCUAGUGCACUAUGUGAGUCUCAUACGGAACUUUAUUCAAACAUACUGACUAUAGAAAAAUCAGUAAAUUUUGAACAGAGAUCAGACAUUAUGUGAGGCUAAGGAAUUAAUUUUGGGAUUUAGUAAUUUUAUUAGGAUUAGGUCUUUGUUAAAAAAAACCCAUCAAAACUAUUAAAAAACCUAAUAAAGAUGAAUAAAUCUAAUAGAGAUGAACUACUGUAUCCGGGAUUUGCUUCAAAACAGUUUGAGAAGGGAUGGAAAGUGGGUACAGGUCAAAUAAAAUGGGCUGUGAACUGAUAAUGGUAUAGUUGUUGGAGAGAGCGAUGGGGCAUGGAGUGCAUUAUACCCUUCUCUCUCCUCUUGAGCACAUUUGAAAUUUUCCAUUAUGAAAGCAGUUUUUCAAGUUUAUUUUCCAGCAUUCAUUCUAGCACUUAUCUAACAAUGUACAUUAUUAUCAUUCAAUAAGUAUGAAUAUGAACAUUAAUUAUAAACAUAAUAAUUGUAGGAGUUCCACUUUGGCUGCUCAGCAGGUUAAGAACCUGACAUUGCAUCUGUGAGGAUGCGGGUUUGAUCCCUGGCCUCGCUCAGUGGGUUAAGGAUCAGGCACUGCCA
This 8364-nucleotide long non-coding RNA is filed under the name Sus scrofa (pig). RNAcentral describes it as "lncRNA (ENSSSCG00050065798.1)". Lineage: Eukaryota; Metazoa; Chordata; Mammalia; Artiodactyla; Suidae. The record is from RNAcentral.